Molecule: ribosomal RNA, 340 nt
Filed under: uncultured Mycobacterium sp.
Lineage: Bacteria; Bacillati; Actinomycetota; Actinomycetes; Mycobacteriales; Mycobacteriaceae
Description: bacterial SSU rRNA
Rfam family: Bacterial small subunit ribosomal RNA
Source: RNAcentral
AGUUUGAUCCUGGCUCAGGACGAACGCUGGCGGCGUGCUUAACACAUGCAAGUCGAACGGUAAGGCCCUUCGGGGUACACGAGUGGCGAACGGGUGAGUAACACGUGGGUAAUCUGCCCUGCACAUCGGGAUAAGCCUGGGAAACUGGGUCUAAUACCGAAUAGGACCACAGAACACAUGUCCUGUGGUGGAAAGCUUUUGCGGUGUGGGAUGGGCCCGCGGCCUAUCAGCUUGUUGGUGGGGUGAUGGCCCACCAAGGCGACGACGGGUAGCCGGCCUGAGAGGGUGUCCGGCCACACUGGGACUGAGAUACGGCCCAGACUCCUACGGGAGGCAGCAG